GAUGAACGCUGGCGGCGUGCCUAAUACAUGCAAGUCGAGCGAACAGAUAAGGAGCUUGCUCCUUUGACGUUAGCGGCGGACGGGUGAGUAACACGUGGGUAACCUAUCUAUAAGACUGGAAUAACUCCGGGAAACCGGGGCUAAUGCCGGAUAACAUGUUGAACCGCAUGGUUCUACAGUGAAAGGCGGCUUUGCUGUCACUUAUAGAUGGACCCGCGCCGUAUUAGCUAGUUGGUGAGGUAACGGCUCACCAAGGCAACGAUACGUAGCCGACCUGAGAGGAUGAUCGGCCACACUGGAACUGAGACACGGUCCAGACUCCUACGGGAGGCAGCAGUAGGGAAUCUUCCGCAAUGGGCGAAAGCCUGACGGAGCAACGCCGCGUGAGUGAUGAAGGUCUUCGGAUCGUAAAGCUCUGUUAUUAGGGAAGAACAAAUGCGUAAGUAACUGUGCGCGUCUUGACGGUACCUAAUCAGAAAGCCACGGCUAACUACGUG
This 497-nucleotide ribosomal RNA is filed under the name uncultured bacterium. RNAcentral's name for it is "partial 16S ribosomal RNA". It matches the Rfam family "Bacterial small subunit ribosomal RNA", at positions 28 to 507 of the family's 1533-position model. The record is from RNAcentral.